GAUUUUGUUGGGAGUACAACAUUGGCCCAACGUUAGGCCAACGUUGGUGAGUCACGACCUUAUUUCGAUACAAUGUUUUGUAUAGACAACGUUGAACCAGAAUUCAGGAAACAUGUGAACUGUUUGUUAUAAAAUCGGACAAGAAGAUGGAAAAGUGAAAGAAAAAGAAAUAGUAAAUUAUGUACAUUUAAUGUUACAUAUAUACCAACCAUGAAUACCGAAAAACAUGCAUGACGAUGUAUCAAGUUAUAUAGCUUUUAUAUUUUUUAGUUUACUGUGAAACUUUAAAAUUUGUGUAAAUGUUUAAACACUACUAGUUCUAUAAAGUAAAUGUUUUUGAGAAUAAUAUAACAUCAAUUUAAAUUAACCUGCAUAUUUAAAAAAAAAAUACAAGACGAACAAGACACACACUUUCUAAAGCGUUGCAUUUAGGGUGCAUAUUCUAAGAUAAGAGAACAUUUUCUGACCAAACAAUUAGGCCAGGGUUUUUCACAGCGUGAGACUGGCCAGUUUCUAUGGUAAUCGUGAUAUCUGAUAGGACAGGAUGGUCAAAUCUGCAUCCUUUUAGCACGCCUAACAUUUUAAUCUCGGAUGUUUCCUACAGCAGAACGUUGUAGAUUUUAUGUUAAAAAGAAAGCUUUGGAAUGUGUGUUCUUUAAUGUGGAUUAAUUUUUAGAGCUAUGUCCAGACAUUUUACAUACGGAUCGAAAUUGAAAAUAACUUGGUGAAUGAAGAGGAGAGUAUUUGCUGCCAUGUUUUAAAAAAUUCCAUUGGAAGGCAAAUGAAGAUAUCCGGCUUUUUCAAAGAUGAUGGGGAUUUAAAAAGAGCUGUUCGGACUUAUCGCUUGUAUGACGAAUCAAUUUCUUUGGAAUUUCACUGAGUACGACCAUGAAGGAAAAAUAAGAACAAGCAGGACAAGAAAGAAGAAAAUGCGUUCAAAAAUACAAUGGAGGACAGUGAUUGGUUAUAAACCUGUUAAUAAAAAGUGUAUAUAAGUUAAAUGAGUGGAAAACUUUUGAAAUUUAUUCUACUAGAUACAAAUUUCAAUCUAAAUCAGGGGCAAAUUAUUUAUUGUUUUAACUGUAUCAAAACACAUUUGUUAUUUUAUACUUUCACUUACUUUUCUUGUAUAGAAACAAUAAAUUUAAUCACUGAUAAUGUAUUUUGUUAUGAUAAAUUGUAAAGAAGUUUAACAAGCCUUGUAAAUUUAUUUUAGCUAACUUGUAUUUAUUAAGUAGGAUUGGUGGUAGAUUUUUUUUUUCUGAUUUUAGAGACGAUCGGAUUUGUUAAUAUACAAGUUUGUAACAAUUAAAUGUUUAUACACAUUGGGCCAAUGUUGGUCCAAUAUAUCGGGCCAACAUUGGGCCAAUGAGCAAAAUGACAUUGGGCCAACGUCAUUUGCCAACAUCGGCCCAAUGUUCUUGAUGACGUUGGGCCAACAUUGGCCCAAUGUCGCAUUCAUUGGGCCAAUGUUGGCGCAAUGUUGGGCCAAUAUCUGCAGAAAUAACACUCUACAUUGGGCCAACGUUGGCCCAACAUAUCGGGCCAACAUUGGGCCGAUGAGCAAACUUACGUUGGGCCAAUGUCAUUUACCAACAUUGGCCCAAUGUAACCGAUGACAU
Saccostrea cuccullata (small rock oyster) is the source of this 1622-nucleotide long non-coding RNA. RefSeq lists it as uncharacterized. The transcript is spliced from 3 exons. The record is from RefSeq and is a predicted model, not a curated record. NCBI's taxonomy places the organism in Eukaryota, Metazoa, Mollusca, Bivalvia, Ostreida, Ostreidae.